This 350-nucleotide ribosomal RNA is filed under the name Enterobacter hormaechei. RNAcentral's name for it is "bacterial SSU rRNA". It matches the Rfam family "Bacterial small subunit ribosomal RNA", at positions 80 to 433 of the family's 1533-position model. The record is from RNAcentral. Lineage: Bacteria; Pseudomonadati; Pseudomonadota; Gammaproteobacteria; Enterobacterales; Enterobacteriaceae.
CUGCUUCGCUGACGAGUGGCGGACGGGUGAGUAAUGUCUGGGAAACUGCCUGAUGGAGGGGGAUAACUACUGGAAACGGUAGCUAAUACCGCAUAACGUCGCAAGACCAAAGAGGGGGACCUUCGGGCCUCUUGCCAUCGGAUGUGCCCAGAUGGGAUUAGCUAGUAGGUGGGGUAACGGCUCACCUAGGCGACGAUCCCUAGCUGGUCUGAGAGGAUGACCAGCCACACUGGAACUGAGACACGGUCCAGACUCCUACGGGAGGCAGCAGUGGGGAAUAUUGCACAAUGGGCGCAAGCCUGAUGCAGCCAUGCCGCGUGUAUGAAGAAGGCCUUCGGGUUGUAAAGUAC